GACGAACGCUGGCGGCGUGCUUAACACAUGCAAGUCGAACGAUGAAGCUGGAGCUUGCUCCGGUGGAUUAGUGGCGAACGGGUGAGUAACACGUGAGCAAUCUGCCCUUGACUCUGGGAUAACUGCGGGAAACUGUAGCUAAUACCGGAUACUUUCCUUGGUGGGCAUCCACUGGGGAAGAAAGAAUUUCGGUCAAGGAUGAGCUCGCGGCCUAUCAGCGAGUUGGUGAGGUAAUGGCUCACCAAGGCGACGACGGGUCGCCGGCCUGAGAGGGUGACCGGCCACACUGGAACUGAGACACGGUCCAGACUCCUACGGGAGGCAGCAGUGGGGAAUAUUGAACAAUGGGCGAAAGCCUGAUGCAGCAACGCCGCGUGAGGGACGAGGGCCUUCGGGUUGUAAACCUCUUUUAGCAGGGAAGAAGCGAAAGUGACGGUACCUGCAGAAAAAGCACCGGCUAACUACGUGCCAGCAGCCGCCGUAA
RNAcentral lists this ribosomal RNA (484 nucleotides) under uncultured bacterium. RNAcentral's name for it is "partial 16S ribosomal RNA". It matches the Rfam family "Bacterial small subunit ribosomal RNA", at positions 28 to 523 of the family's 1533-position model. The record is from RNAcentral.